This 1208-nucleotide ribosomal RNA is filed under the name Triticum aestivum (bread wheat). RNAcentral's name for it is "partial small subunit ribosomal RNA". The record is from RNAcentral. Lineage: Eukaryota; Viridiplantae; Streptophyta; Magnoliopsida; Poales; Poaceae.
AAUAAAAAGACCAGCCGACGAGCCCUAGUGAUCCCUCAGCUACCUGCGAGCGAUCUGCGCAAGAUAAAUUAAAAAAAUCCCCUCGCAGGAUAAAACUAUGUCUCCGGCGUUGGCGUAUCUAUAGGUCUGGCUGUGCAAAGCUCGCGGGAAUAUGUUAACGUCGUGAUAAGGGAUCGGUCGCUUGCUUCUCUCGCGGAGGGAGGGCUGUUCUCUCCGGAAGAAAGGCUCGCGCUGACGAUCCCAAGGAUCGGCGGCGGUGAUGACGGCCGGGAGGCGGCGCCCGGCUUCGGAGGCGCGACGGUGCGGCGGCCAUAUCCUAGGGUCGUCGCGGAGGGAGGGACCUCGUCGGCGGCGAGGGUGUGUAGUUGCGGCGGCGGGCCACGUAUCCGUCCGGUGCGAUCCAAGUUCUCUUUCGUCUUAGUCCCUACCACCGUGAAGCUAUACGCCGCUCCUGUGAACCAGCUAAGUGCGAGGCUUCUGGUGUCCCCAAGCCGUAGAGUAGCUGACGCCGUCUCCUAGUUGUCGCCAAGGACGGUGCCGAGUAGUUGUGCUUACCGGAGUGUCGACUCGUUGUUUUUCUACAACGUUCGGCGGAUCACGUUUAGCUACCCUUCUUUCUCCUCGACAUGUUAUACUAAAGACCGGAACUUUCCUCGAUGUUGCAAUCACCGUUCUAUCAGGCCGUUUUACCAGCCGACCGCGCAGUAGAAAGACAUGAUCAGUUCGGAUUUGGGUUACUGGGAAUGACCGCAAACGUAAGUUCUAGUGUUUCUUAAUACCUGACGUAUGUAAAAUACCCCCCGACAACAAAUCCGGGACACUAACACUCACCAAAACGGACCACCUACUGUCUCCGUGUACGUCUUCUUUUUCUACUAUCAGAACCUACUUGUUCGUUUUUGUCACUUGUCUUUGAACCGGUUUGAAAACUUCCAAACUGAAUUCUGUUUGGAUUACACGCCUCAUUUUUAUUUGUCUCCCUCGUACAGAAUAGACUGACUCCUCAUUUCCAAGUUUGAGACCUUAACAUAUACUUACGACUGUGAACAUACGUGGAUAAUUACCUACUAAUGAAACUACUAGAUAGUGAACAAUAAAACAAGAGAGAGAGAAGACACGAACAACUUCCCUGACUUCAAUACAGUAACAGAUACAUAUACUAAAACGGUGGAUCAUAGUAGGUUUAUUUAUACCCAACUAUUUAUACG